This 394-nucleotide ribosomal RNA is filed under the name uncultured bacterium. Its description in RNAcentral is "partial 16S ribosomal RNA". It matches the Rfam family "Bacterial small subunit ribosomal RNA", at positions 523 to 918 of the family's 1533-position model. The record is from RNAcentral.
AUACGGAGGGUGCGAGCGUUAAUCGGAAUCACUGGGCGUAAAGCGCACGUAGGCUGUCUGGCAAGUCAGGGGUGAAAUCCAGCGGCUCAACCGCGGAACUGCCUUUGAAACUGUCAGACUUGAGUAUCGGAGAGGGUGGCGGAAUUCCAGGUGUAGGAGUGGAAUCCGUAGAUAUCUGGAAGAACACCGGUGGCGAAGGCGGCCACCUGGACGAAAACUGACGCUGAGGUGCGAAAGCGUGGGUAGCAAACAGGAUUAGAUACCCGGGUAGUCCACGCUGUAAACGAUGGAUGCUGGGUGCUGGGAGCAUAGCUUUCGGCGCCGUAGUUAACGCGAUAAGCAUCCCGCCUGGGGAGUACGGUCGCAAGGCUGAAACUCAAAUGAAUUGACGGGG